UUAUGGCGACCGGCGCACGGGUGAGUAACACGUAUCCAACCUGCCGAUGACUCGGGGAUAGCCUUUCGAAAGAAAGAUUAAUACCCGAUGGCAUAGUUCUUCCGCAUGGUAGAACUAUUAAAGAAUUUCGGUCAUCGAUGGGGAUGCGUUCCAUUAGGUUGUUGGCGGGGUAACGGCCCACCAAGCCUUCGAUGGAUAGGGGUUCUGAGAGGAAGGUCCCCCACAUUGGAGCUGAGACACGGUCCAA
RNAcentral lists this ribosomal RNA (247 nucleotides) under uncultured bacterium. RNAcentral describes it as "partial 16S ribosomal RNA". It matches the Rfam family "Bacterial small subunit ribosomal RNA", at positions 86 to 334 of the family's 1533-position model. The record is from RNAcentral.